GAUGAACGCUAGCGGCAGGCCUAACACAUGCAAGUCGAGGGGCAGCACAUAAAGUGGUUUACUACUUUUGGUGGCGACCGGCGGACGGGUGCGUUACGCGUAUCCAACCUGCCUCCAACCUGGGGAUAACGGAGAGAAAUUUCCACUACUACCCCAUAAUAUCAGAAUCGGCAUCGGUUUUGGUUGAAAACUCCGGUGGUUGGAACUGGGCAUGCGUUGUAUUAGAUAGUUGGUGAGGUAACGGCUCACCAAGUCAACGAUACAUAGGGGGACUGAGAGGUUAGCCCCCCACACUGGUACUGAGAAACGGACCGGACUCCUACGGGAGGCAGCAGUGAGGAAUAUUGGUCAAUGGGGGCAACCCUGACCCAGCCAUGCCGCGUGCAGGAAGACGGCUCUAUGAGUUGUAAACUGCUUUUACAAGGGGAUAAAUCGGUGUACGUGUACACCGUUGAAGGUACCUUGGGAAUAAGGAUCGGCUAACUCCGUGCCAGCCGCCGCCGUAA
This 506-nucleotide ribosomal RNA is filed under the name uncultured bacterium. Its description in RNAcentral is "partial 16S ribosomal RNA". It matches the Rfam family "Bacterial small subunit ribosomal RNA", at positions 28 to 523 of the family's 1533-position model. The record is from RNAcentral.